AUUAAACUGCAAAAUAAAAAACAAAAAUAAGUUAUUUAUAACUCUGUUUGAAAAAAUAUCCUGAAUAAAUCCAUAUGCACUCCCAUUUCCAUGUUGAAUACUAAUAACAUAUUAAAAGGUGCUGGAUAUACCUCCAACCAACACUUAUCAAGUCUUAGGAAGAUUAGCUACUGGUGAUGCAGCAAAGAAGAAGGUGAGGGAAAGGGAGCACAAACAUGACUAGUUUUUAAAGCAGUGGGAUCAUUUAAGAAUUUACCAUUGAACAGGGAAUUAAAAACACCUACAAAGGUUUAAUUCUCAACAGCUAUAUAUGGCUAACUGUAAAGAUCAAGCUGUGCACAGUUAUCUUUCCAACUCUUUCCAAGUUAUUUUUUAGAAGAAAAUUGUAUGAAGACAAGCCUCUAAAUAUUUCAAUGUGAAGUCACGAUAUUUCCUCUAUAGCUUGCACACUGAGUGGACUCAAUUCUAAAAAACUGUUCAAACUGCUCGUACAAGUUGAAGCACUUACUACUUCCCCUUACACACCGCUUUUAAUAUACUCAUUUGCUAUUCUCCAUUAAGAUGGAUAUUCUAAGUAAGCUUUAAAGACUUUUCACUUCCCCAGGUUCUAGGGCAGCGGGGGCAGGUGUGCCAAAAGUUAGCUCUGCACCCUCCCCAAAUUCACUCCAAUCCCCUUUUUCUGCUUAAUAUGCUACUACUUUCUGCCACUAUGCUUUCUGCUCCCUUCCUGAUCUGCCAAUGUGUUGUCUGCCCCCUCCCCAAUCUAUCAAGUGCCACACACACAGGAUGUGUGCCACUUGGACUACAAGUUGGCCACCCCUGUAAUGGGCCGGUAUUGGAUACAAGUGCCUUCAAGACUCUCCCGGUUUCUUACAGAGAUGUGCAGAACCUGGCAUUAGUCAGCUUUAUCUGGCAAGAAAAUUAGGGCCAAUUAUCCCAGAGAACAGAAUAUACAGAUAAAAAUGGAAAUGAAAUAAACAGAAUCCAGCAUCCCUAACCUUCCUUGGUUGGAGCCUUAAGUUUAGGACUGAUCCACAUUUGGGCACUGUGUGUUCCUGCACAAGAUCAUUGCUGCAUCUUGUGUCUCCAUCUAAUUCUUUCCAUUUUAAUUCUUGAACUGCCUCUUCCAUGCAUGUGAUUUAUACUCCUUCACCUUAACACUCACCCCUAUUUUGCCUUUCUGCAGUACCUCGUUCCUCAGGUCCAGCUCUCUCCCCCUUCAACACCUGCACUAUCAUUCUUUUCCACAGGUGGAAAUAAUCUGCUUCCCCAUUAUUCCUUUCCUGCUGUCCUUCCCUUCUGCCAGGUUCCUCCUAUUGCCUGGUUUUGAUUUUUCCUGGUUCUCUUUCUUUACAACACAGCUGGAAACAUUCUAAAAAGAAGGUACCUGGAGGAUGCUGUAUCCCCAAGCAAAGGGGAUCCGUGAGGGCAUUUUGUUGAAACCAGAGGAAGAAAAAAAACAAUAAAAAUAAUGGAACAAAAAAGCAGAAAAAAAACUGAACCUUGUUCCAGUGACAGCAAGCCAGAAUAAUUGCAUUAAAAUUAACCCAUUGGAGUAUGAUAAAACAGGUUCAACUUUCCAUCUAAAUAUUACCUAUCAACAGCAAAGCUGCAUCCAUGACUGCCGCACCAUUCAGCAUAGUAGCCAUCAAGAUAUCAUGACCAGGACAAUCCACAAAAGAGACGUGUCUGUUGCAUAAUAAGAAGAGAGAAAACCAGAAGCUGAUCAUUAACUGUAAACCAGAACUGAAUUCAUCAUUAAUAGGCAUAAUGAUUUAAAGCACAUGCAAAUAAUCUAUACACUUCUAGGAAUGUAGAAAGGUGCCUUUUGGAACUAUUGUACUAUUAACAUGAAUACUACUGAAAAUCAUCAACACAAUCUUUUGAGUAUAUUGCAUAGACUGCAAUAACUGGACUAUUUCAGGUUCUUGUCUGUAUUCAACAGAAGAAUCUUUAUUCCGUAACAUGGCAAGAACACAGCUGUAUGCUGCUUCACUGAUGAUAUUAAAAAUUCACCAAUGGUAAAGAAGAAGUAAAAGAAACUGGUGUGUUUAAUGAACUGUUUUGAGUGUUGGUCUUACAACUAUCAGAGCCCACCACAAAAGGAAAAAAAAAAACCUAUUUUAGAACAACUACAGAGGUAUGAAAUAUUUUGCAAGCACUCAUAACUAUCCUACUUAAAACACCACAGAUAAUCUUCUGCACCUUUUAGAUACUGACUCUGACAAUAUUACAUUAUUACAAUAUUGAUAAUAUUACAAUAUUGUCAUGUGAAGGCAGUUCCUUCACAGCAUCUGAUGAAGUAAACUGCUUCUUAUGAAAGUUUGUUAUACACCUCGGAUUUAGUCUAUAAGUUACAAAUUUACCCUGCCUUCUACCUGACUUCAGGCUAACAUGGCAACUACUUUUCAAUAUUACACUUUGACAAGAAUGACUGCCUCAUCUCCAAUUGUAUUCCUAAGACUCACUCCCAAGUUAAGUUGUAAGUGUUCACGAGUCCGAUUAAAAAGCCCUUAGGAUUUUGCAGUCUGUGGGGGAGAAGUUUAAGUGAUGCUCUACUCUGAAAAUAAACUUUAAAAAUAGGUCUAUGAAUUUCCAUGAUAACCAGUAUCUAAGUGAUUUUCAGAAUUCAGAUUACGAGUAUGAGAAACAACAUUUUAUUUAAAAGCCCUGCAAACAAGAUGGAACUGUAAAAUUAAUAUUAUGCUUUUUCAAGCAAGUAAAUUGUCACCAGUAGCAGAUUUUGCAAUUCAAAAGUAUGCCCUCAGCCACAUCUGUACAUCUUCAAGAUCUUUAAAAUACCUUAGGACUAAAGUGAUAGGUUUAUUAGAAAACUCUAAACAAAAGCCAUCUCAGUCAUUACAACUUAUUCAGUAAUCCCUGUCAAUUAUGAGAAAUUGAGAUUUGACUCCUCUCUCAACUGCACGGGUUCCAAAGAGUCAGCAGGAAUCAAAAGCAUAUGUAUUGCUUAGUAAACAAACACACCACAGACAUACAAAGAAUAAACAACACUGCCACUUAAUUAAACACUUUUAUAGGAUAGCAUCCAAUUUCAGGUUUUUAAUUGCUGUUUUAUAUCUCUCUCAACAGCAGGCAAAAGUGACCUAAGUUUAGGCCAGAGGCAGGCAGCUGUAGUGGCAGAGGGAGUGUAACCACUGCUGAAGCUCUUCACUGCUGAACACCAAAGCCUCACAUCCAUGAGCUAAAUCAAAUGGCUCUGUGGGCCACAGGUUGCCAAACCCAAUGUAGAAAAAACUACAAACAAGUCAAGAACAACUGAAAUCAUUCAAUCUACAUCAGCCACCUGACUAAUUUAAAGUUCCCUUUGGUCCCAGGAAUAUCUGUAGGGAACUCAUCUGGUGUGCUACUUCCACAAGACCGGUAACACUCUGGUCGGGAACAGCUGGGAUCCUCAAGUUUGUAGAUCUGGAAUAACAGAGAGAGAAACAGGCUUAGGUUACCAGUGGUCAGUCUCAUAUUUUUUCUCUCCCCCAAAAACAAUACCAGUUAAUAUGUCAAAACAACCAAACAAAGCAGAGUUUCUAGAUUUAUUGCAAUAACUAACCUUAGCAUUGGCAUAACCCAGCUUGAUAGUGAUAUUUCUUUCCAGUUCAUUUUUGAAUCGGACAGUAUGAACUCCAGAUAUAGCUUUGACUACAGUUGACUUUCCGUGAGCCACAUGGCCAAUUGUACCUAUAUAUUAAAAGCAAAUAUUUGUCAAUACAUAAUUGUUUAAUUUGUGCAACGUUCUGCUUCAAAUUACCUACAUAUGUAGACGGAGUACCUGUUAAACCUUCAAUAUCUAAAUUAAGAACCAAAUUUGUACAAGAUCACCCAUAGCCCCAUGAAACCAGCUGGUUCAGAGAUUUAAUUGUAAGCAUAUUUAGAUUUCUUAACCAGUUUGUUUGUUUUUUUAUACCAACAUAGGCCAUGAUCCUGAGAUAAGCUCUAUAUGGACACUCUGGGUACUUACUGUUCAAUGAUCAUUACAGAACCAGGACUAUAUGGAGCGAAAACGAGUUUCAAUUGAGGGAAACUCCAACUCCUACCUGAGACGCACUUCUUUGAGAGAAUAAGUCUCUCAUGCCUAAAACAUACACUACAACUACCUUUGAGCAAAUAAAUCCAUGGUGGAACUGUUAACAACAUACUACUUUACUUAAAGUACAAAGCUUAGAUUUUUAUUCAAUUUUCUAUAUUUCAUUGAAAAGUUUGGAUUUUAUCCAUAGCAUUUUUAAAUAAAACUCUGCAGCACUGUGUUAGUUCAAGAGUGUCAAAACCUGUCACAUCUAUAAUUAAAUGUUCUUUUUUACCUAUAUUAAUUGUAGCUUGUCUACUGAUGACUUCUGGUGAGAGAGGUGUCAGCUUGGUAACAUCCUGUAUGGGGCAAAAUUUCACAAUCUAUAAGCAAUGUACAUGUUUAGGUACAAGAUAAUAAAAAAAAUGUUCUGUUAAGGAAACCCAUCAAAAGUGUUUAAAAUAGUUCUAAUUGCUCACAGCAUUAGACUUCUGGAAGAGGUCAGAAAGGGAAUUUGUAAAAAUGCCUCUAUAAUUAACAUGUUAUUCAUGCAUAUAUAAUUAGAGAAAACAAAACUAGUAAAACUAAUGUAAAUUCACAGAUAGCUAUUUAUAAACAGUGGGGAGUUUCCCAAAUCCAUUUAUUCCCAUCUGUGUGGCAAAGGAAAGGCAUGUAAUGGAAAAAAAUCCUCUUAGAUUAACAAAGCUUUUUUAUUUUAUGGAGUGGUAUUUGAAACAGCCCUCCCCCCCCCC
This is a long non-coding RNA of Alligator mississippiensis (American alligator), 4770 nucleotides long. RefSeq lists it as uncharacterized. The record is from RefSeq and is a predicted model, not a curated record. The transcript is spliced from 2 exons. NCBI's taxonomy places the organism in Eukaryota, Metazoa, Chordata, Crocodylia, Alligatoridae.